This 440-nucleotide ribosomal RNA is filed under the name uncultured bacterium. RNAcentral describes it as "partial 16S ribosomal RNA". It matches the Rfam family "Bacterial small subunit ribosomal RNA", at positions 338 to 795 of the family's 1533-position model. The record is from RNAcentral.
CCUACGGGAGGCAGCAGUAGGGAAUAUUGCUCAAUGGGGGAAACCCUGAAGCAGCAACGCCGCGUGGAGGAUGAAGGUUUUCGGAUUGUAAACUCCUUUUGUUAGAGAAGAUAAUGACGGUAUCUAACGAAUAAGCACCGGCUAACUCCGUGCCAGCAGCCGCGGUAAUACGGAGGGUGCAAGCGUUACUCGGAAUCACUGGGCGGAAAGAGCGCGUAGGCGGGAUAGCAAGUCAGAUGUGAAAUCCUAUGGCUUAACCAUAGAACUGCCUUUGAAACUGUUAUUCUAGAGUAUGGGAGAGGUAGGUGGAAUUCUUGGUGUAGGGGUAAAAUCCGUAGAGAUCAAGAGGAAUACUCAUUGCGAAGGCGACCUGCUAGAACAUAACUGACGCUGAAGCGCGAAAGCGUGGGGAGCAAACAGGAUUAGAUACCCCAGUAGUC